ACUCUGGACAUGUGGUGUGGGCUCCUUUGGAGGCUGUUGAAUCCCUUCUGAAUGUGGUGCGGGCAUAGAAGGAAGGCCAUGAGGGACAAUCUUGGUCUUGGGAGAUCCCUGGAAAUGAUAGGGAGCCCCUUGAUAUGUGUGGCAUGGGCUCCUUCAGGUGCUAGCGCUUUCCUCAGGAUGGUGGUGUUGGCGUAAAAGGCAGGCUUGUAUCAUGAGGAGUGAUUGUCAUCUCGUAUGAUCCUUGGAGAUGGCAGGAAGCCCCUGGACACACAUGUUGUGGACUCCUUCAGAGGCUGUUGAAACCUUCCUUAAUAUGAGGCCAGAGACAGGUGGACAGCAAAUGUAUCGCAGCGGGCUGGAUGACGUGGCCGUUGGAACCUGUGCACAUGCCUGCCUUUCUGAUACACGUCCGUGUUUUCUCUACAUCUCCCCAGUGGUGUUGGUGUAAAAAGCAGGCUCAUGUUAGCAAGGGAUGAUUGUCAUCUCGUGUGAUCCUGGGAGAUGGCGGAAGUCCGGGGACACGUGGAGUGUGGGCUCCUUUGGAGGCUGAUGGAACCCUCCUGAGUGUAAGUGAUUCCUUCCUGAAGCAUGCUGAUUUUCCUCAUUUGCAGGGGCAAAGACUGGAUCGAUGAUGACUUCCAUAUAUACAUUCCUUGGAAAGCUGAACAAAAUGAGUGAAAACUCUAUACCGUCAUCCUCGUCGAACUGAGGUCCAGCACACUGCUCGUCAGGGGCUAGAGAGAGGGACAACAUCCGUUUGUUGACACGGGCUGUGUCACCACUUGGGAUGGCAUCGUCUUUGGGCGAAGUGGAGCAGCCGGGCAUUGUGGCCUUCCGUGGCUGAGAGACAGCUGGGUUGAAGCACUUCCCUCUGUGCGGCUGUGUGUGUUCUUGAUUCAUACUCCUUGGGCCCUGCUCUCCCCCGAGGAAGACCGUGGCUUCUGCAUGGGCAGACAGCACAGUGUUGUUCCUGGGCACUUCUUUGGUUCACUUUCAUCCUCCUCUGGGGACGUGGGAGUUCCCAUGGUGUUUGGGUAGCAGUGGG
This 1045-nucleotide long non-coding RNA is filed under the name Piliocolobus tephrosceles (Ugandan red Colobus). RNAcentral's name for it is "lncRNA (ENSPTEG00000038908.1)". The stretch from base 623 to 714 matches the Rfam family "Small nucleolar RNA SNORD116". The record is from RNAcentral. Lineage: Eukaryota; Metazoa; Chordata; Mammalia; Primates; Cercopithecidae.